CACCGCGGUUAUACGAGAGGCCCGAGUUGACAGACGCCGGCGUAAAGAGUGGUUAAGGAAAAUUUUAAACUAAAGCCGAACGCCUUCAAGGCAGUCUGAAUGCAUCCGAAGGUACGAAGCCCCACCACGAAAGUGGCUUUAUGACUCCUGAUCCCACGAAAGCUAAGGAA
This 170-nucleotide ribosomal RNA is filed under the name Hyperoglyphe antarctica (Antarctic butterfish). Its description in RNAcentral is "partial 12S rRNA". The record is from RNAcentral. Lineage: Eukaryota; Metazoa; Chordata; Actinopteri; Scombriformes; Centrolophidae.